AUUGAACGCUGGCGGAAUGCUUUACACAUGCAAGUCGAACGGUAGAGGGGGCAACCCCUCGAGAGUGGCGAACGGGUGAGUAAUAUAUCGGAACGUGCCCAGUCGUGGGGGAUAACGUAGCGAAAGUUACGCUAAUACCGCAUACGAUCGAAGGAUGAAAGCGGGGGAUCGCAAGACCGCGCGCGAUCGGAGCGGCCGAUAUCAGAUUAGGUAGUUGGUGGGGUAAAGGCUCACCAAGCCAACGAUCUGUAGCUGGUCUGAGAGGACGACCAGCCACACUGGAACUGAGACACGGUCCAGACUCCUACGGGAGGCAGCAGUGGGGAAUUUUGGACAAUGGACGCAAGUCUGAUCCAGCCAUUCCGCGUGCAGGAUGAAGGCCCUCGGGUUGUAAACUGCUUUUGUACGGAACGAAAAGGUCUCUCUUAAUACGGGGGACUCAUGACGGUACCGUAAGAAUAAGCACCGGCUAACUACGUGCCAGCAGCCGCAGUAA
This 496-nucleotide ribosomal RNA is filed under the name uncultured bacterium. RNAcentral's name for it is "partial 16S ribosomal RNA". It matches the Rfam family "Bacterial small subunit ribosomal RNA", at positions 30 to 523 of the family's 1533-position model. The record is from RNAcentral.